AAAGUAAGCUGGCGGCAUGCCUUACACAUGCAAGUCGAACGGCAGCACGGGUGCUUGCACCUGGUGGCGAGUGGCGAACGGGUGAGUAAUACAUCGGAACAUGUCCUGUAGUGGGGGAUAGCCCGGCGAAAGCCGGAUUAAUACCGCAUACGAUCUAUGGAUGAAAGCGGGGGACCUUCGGGCCUCGCGCUAUAGGGUUGGCCGAUGGCUGAUUAGCUAGUUGGUGGGGUAAAGGCCUACCAAGGCGACGAUCAGUAGCUGGUCUGAGAGGACGACCAGCCACACUGGGACUGAGACACGGCCCAGACUCCUACGGGAGGCAGCAGUGGGGAAUUUUGGACAAUGGGCGAAAGCCUGAUCCAGCAAUGCCGCGUGUGUGAAGAAGGCCUUCGGGUUGUAAAGCACUUUUGUCCGGAAAGAAAUCCUUGGCUCUAAUACAGUCGGGGGAUGACGGUACCGGAAGAAUAAGCACCGGCUAACUACGUGCCAGCAGCCGCGGUAAUACGUAGGGUGCAAGCGUUAAUCGGAAUUACUGGGCGUAAAGCGUGCGCAGGCGGUUUGCUAAGACCGAUGUGAAAUCCCCGGGCUCAACCUGGGAACUGCAUUGGUGACUGGCAGGCUAGAGUAUGGCAGAGGGGGGUAGAAUUCCACGUGUAGCAGUGAAAUGCGUAGAGAUGUGGAGGAAUACCGAUGGCGAAGGCAGCCCCCUGGGCCAAUACUGACGCUCAUGCACGAAAGCGUGGGGAGCAAACAGGAUUAGAUACCCUGGUAGUCCACGCCCUAAACGAUGUCAACUAGUUGUUGGGGAUUCAUUUCCUUAGUAACGUAGCUAACGCGUGAAGUUGACCGCCUGGGGAGUACGGUCGCAAGAUUAAAACUCAAGGAAUUGACGGGGACCCGCAC
Molecule: ribosomal RNA, 903 nt
Filed under: Burkholderia vietnamiensis
Lineage: Bacteria; Pseudomonadati; Pseudomonadota; Betaproteobacteria; Burkholderiales; Burkholderiaceae
Description: bacterial SSU rRNA
Rfam family: Bacterial small subunit ribosomal RNA
Source: RNAcentral